Long non-coding RNA from Egretta garzetta (little egret), 361 nucleotides. RefSeq lists it as uncharacterized. The record is from RefSeq and is a predicted model, not a curated record. Lineage: Eukaryota; Metazoa; Chordata; Aves; Pelecaniformes; Ardeidae. The transcript has 3 exons.
CCUAUUUAUUGAAGAGGAAAACACAGCUGUUAAACAACAGGAUUUUACAGUUAAUAUUCUCCCUAGUGGGCACAGCUGAACUUGGCUUUGAGUCUUCAGUCAUCAAGAAUUGUAGUGCAUUCCAGUAUGUCCUCUGCAACUUCGAGCUUUGGAUGAAAGCACCAGAAAAUCUUGAUCUUGCUCUUUUUUCACAUCUUGUGGAGAUCUUUCAGUCCUCCAGAGAUGGAUGUCAGAAUGCUGCAGUUGCCUACCAGGUGCAAAUGGUGCCCAAGCUCAUUUUCCUCUUCAAUGAUCCUGAAAUCAGUAACUCCAGGAUCACUGUAGCCUGCACUAUUCUCUCCCAUCUGUUGCAAGGAUACUU